GCCAGUUUGGCUCAGUGGAUAGAGCAUCAGCCUGCAGACUGAAGGGUCCCAGGUUCGAUUCCGGUAAAAGGCA
Molecule: transfer RNA, 73 nt
Filed under: Myotis lucifugus (little brown bat)
Lineage: Eukaryota; Metazoa; Chordata; Mammalia; Chiroptera; Vespertilionidae
Rfam family: tRNA
About the family: Transfer RNA (tRNA) molecules are approximately 80 nucleotides in length. Their secondary structure includes four short double-helical elements and three loops (D, anti-codon, and T loops).
Source: Rfam by way of RNAcentral